This 159-nucleotide ribosomal RNA is filed under the name Beauveria bassiana. RNAcentral describes it as "5.8S ribosomal RNA". It matches the Rfam family "5.8S ribosomal RNA". From Rfam's summary of the family: 5.8S ribosomal RNA (5.8S rRNA) is a component of the large subunit of the eukaryotic ribosome. It is transcribed by RNA polymerase I as part of the 45S precursor that also contains 18S and 28S rRNA. Lineage: Eukaryota; Fungi; Ascomycota; Sordariomycetes; Hypocreales; Cordycipitaceae. The record is from RNAcentral.
AAACUUUCAACAACGGAUCUCUUAGCUCUGGCAUCGAUGAAGAACGCAGCGAAACGCGAUAAGUAAUGUGAAUUGCAGAAUCCAGUGAAUCAUCGAAUCUUUGAACGUACAUUGCGCCCGCCAGCAUUCUGGCGGGCAUGCCUGUUCGAGCGUCAUUUC